UUACAUACAUUAAUGUAUGUUUAGUAAAUAGUUGAUUUGCACUUAACUUUUAUGAUAUAUUCAUACU
RNAcentral lists this transfer RNA (67 nucleotides) under Tetragnatha cf. tincochacae DDC-2018. Its description in RNAcentral is "tRNA-Ala". Lineage: Eukaryota; Metazoa; Arthropoda; Arachnida; Araneae; Tetragnathidae. The record is from RNAcentral.